This 1527-nucleotide ribosomal RNA is filed under the name Escherichia coli DEC6C. RNAcentral's name for it is "bacterial SSU rRNA". It matches the Rfam family "Bacterial small subunit ribosomal RNA". Lineage: Bacteria; Pseudomonadati; Pseudomonadota; Gammaproteobacteria; Enterobacterales; Enterobacteriaceae. The record is from RNAcentral.
GAGUUUGAUCAUGGCUCAGAUUGAACGCUGGCGGCAGGCCUAACACAUGCAAGUCGAACGGUAACAGGAAACAGCUUGCUGUUUCGCUGACGAGUGGCGGACGGGUGAGUAAUGUCUGGGAAACUGCCUGAUGGAGGGGGAUAACUACUGGAAACGGUAGCUAAUACCGCAUAACGUCGCAAGACCAAAGAGGGGGACCCUCGGGCCUCUUGCCAUCGGAUGUGCCCAGAUGGGAUUAGCUUGUUGGUGGGGUAACGGCUCACCAAGGCGACGAUCCCUAGCUGGUCUGAGAGGAUGACCAGCCACACUGGAACUGAGACACGGUCCAGACUCCUACGGGAGGCAGCAGUGGGGAAUAUUGCACAAUGGGCGCAAGCCUGAUGCAGCCAUGCCGCGUGUAUGAAGAAGGCCUUCGGGUUGUAAAGUACUUUCAGCGGGGAGGAAGGGAGUAAAGUUAAUACCUUUGCUCAUUGACGUUACCCGCAGAAGAAGCACCGGCUAACUCCGUGCCAGCAGCCGCGGUAAUACGGAGGGUGCAAGCGUUAAUCGGAAUUACUGGGCGUAAAGCGCACGCAGGCGGUUUGUUAAGUCAGAUGUGAAAUCCCCGGGCUCAACCUGGGAACUGCAUCUGAUACUGGCAAGCUUGAGUCUCGUAGAGGGGGUAGAAUUCCAGGUGUAGCGGUGAAAUGCGUAGAGAUCUGGAGGAAUACCGGUGGCGAAGGCGGCCCCCUGGACGAAGACUGACGCUCAGGUGCGAAAGCGUGGGGAGCAAACAGGAUUAGAUACCCUGGUAGUCCACGCCGUAAACGAUGUCGACUUGGAGGUUGUGCCCUUGAGGCGUGGCUUCCGGAGCUAACGCGUUAAGUCGACCGCCUGGGGAGUACGGCCGCAAGGUUAAAACUCAAAUGAAUUGACGGGGGCCCGCACAAGCGGUGGAGCAUGUGGUUUAAUUCGAUGCAACGCGAAGAACCUUACCUGGUCUUGACAUCCACGGAAGUUUUCAGAGAUGAGAAUGUGCCUUCGGGAACCGUGAGACAGGUGCUGCAUGGCUGUCGUCAGCUCGUGUUGUGAAAUGUUGGGUUAAGUCCCGCAACGAGCGCAACCCUUAUCCUUUGUUGCCAGCGGUCCGGCCGGGAACUCAAAGGAGACUGCCAGUGAUAAACUGGAGGAAGGUGGGGAUGACGUCAAGUCAUCAUGGCCCUUACGACCAGGGCUACACACGUGCUACAAUGGCGCAUACAAAGAGAAGCGACCUCGCGAGAGCAAGCGGACCUCAUAAAGUGCGUCGUAGUCCGGAUUGGAGUCUGCAACUCGACUCCAUGAAGUCGGAAUCGCUAGUAAUCGUGGAUCAGAAUGCCACGGUGAAUACGUUCCCGGGCCUUGUACACACCGCCCGUCACACCAUGGGAGUGGGUUGCAAAAGAAGUAGGUAGCUUAACCUUCGGGAGGGCGCUUACCACUUUGUGAUUCAUGACUGGGGUGAAGUCGUAACAAGGUAACCGUAGGGGAACCUGCGGUUGGAUCACC